CGGGACGGGUGAGUAAUGUCUGGGAAACGUAGCCGAUGGAGGGGGAUAACUACUGGAAACGGUAGCUAAUACCGCAUAACGUCGCAAGACCAAAGAGGGGGACCUUCGGGCCUCUUGCCAUCGGAUGUGCCCAGAUGGGAUUAGCUAGUAGGUGGGGUAACGGCUCACCUAGGCGACGAUCCCUAGCUGGUCUGAGAGGAUGACCAGCCACACUGGAACUGAGACACGGUCCAG
Molecule: ribosomal RNA, 234 nt
Filed under: uncultured bacterium
Lineage: Bacteria
Description: partial 16S ribosomal RNA
Rfam family: Bacterial small subunit ribosomal RNA
Source: RNAcentral